CCUACGGGAAGCAGCAGUAGGGAAUCUUCCACAAUGGGCGAAAGCCUGAUGGAGCAACGCCGCGUGGGUGAAGAAGGUCUUCGGAUCGUACAACCCUGUUGUUAGAGAAGAAAGUGCGUGAGAGUAACUGUUCACGGUUCGACGGUAUCUAACCAGAAAGCCACGGCUAACUACGUGCCAGCAGCCGCGGUAAUACGUAGGUGGCAAGCGUUAUCCGGAUUUAUUGGGCGUAAAGGGAACGCAGGCGGUCUUUUAAGUCUGAUGUGAAAGCCUUCGGCUUAACCGGAGUAGUGCAUUGGAAACUGGGAGACUUGAGUGCAGAAGAGGAGAGUGGAACUCCAUGUGUAGCGGUGAAAUGCGUAGAUAUAUGGAAGAACACCAGUGGCGAAAGCGGCUCUCUGGUCUGUAACUGACGCUGAGGUUCGAAAGCGUGGGUAGCAAACAGGAUUAGAUACCCUAGUAGUC
Molecule: ribosomal RNA, 465 nt
Filed under: uncultured bacterium
Lineage: Bacteria
Description: partial 16S ribosomal RNA
Rfam family: Bacterial small subunit ribosomal RNA
Source: RNAcentral